UAAAGCAGUUUAUACGAAGAUUACUAGAACAACAUGGAGAGUUAUAGUUUCAAGUCAACAUCACUGUUUGUAAUUUUAGUACUAUGUAAGUCAUCAUUCUUCUAUCUCUUUUAUAUACAAAAGUUAUAAAAAUAUACAUAAUUCAUGAUACAACCAACUUUGCUAAUUUCUUUCUUUAUCGACUUAAAGGUCUACUGCAUAAUGUCAAGGCCCGAACAAGCCAAUCAGAAGAAUCAUUUUCGACAGAGACACGCUGCAAACGAGAUAUUGAAUGUAUGUCGUGUCCACAUGGUGGAUUCUGUGACAUGAAGACCGGAAAAUGUUCUUGCUUGCCAUUGUCAACACAGGCGCAGUGUGAGAGAGAUGUUGAUUGUAUGGGAGCGUGUCCACAUGGUGGAUU
This 400-nucleotide long non-coding RNA is filed under the name Carica papaya (papaya). RNAcentral describes it as "long non-coding RNA (CPAP_LNC007441)". Lineage: Eukaryota; Viridiplantae; Streptophyta; Magnoliopsida; Brassicales; Caricaceae. The record is from RNAcentral.